AUGUUAGGUGGAUGCUGCUAUGCUGCGCGAGCCUUCUGCCUCGACCCAGAAAUAGCUGGCCUGCAGAUGUGUGCGAGAUUUUGUUUAGUCUAUCAUGGCUAUUGCUGUGGAGCAAACUUGGUGUUGCUCCUCAAUAUCCAGGCUCCCACCCACAGGCACAGGCACACGCAGCCUGGCAGGAGAUGCCGAGCCUGCUCGCCUCAAACCUGGGGCUGCAAAGCCACGGGGAGGGCUGGCGAGCCAGGGGAAGGGCAAGGCAGCAGGAGAGAGGGGCUCUGGGCUGCUCUCAGGGUCAGGGUCUUGCUCCCCGUUCCCCGUUCUGCUGGACCACGCUCCUGGCUCUGCAGCCUCCUUGUCCCUCACCAGGCUCGGAAGCGCUUGAUAAGAGAGAGGAAGAGGGACUGCGGCAAGAGAGCCGCACGGAGGAACUCAAACACCGCGAUUCGCCAGCGGCAGGCGUCCCUUCGCUGCAGAGGCAGUGACAGAUAUCCCCCUGAACCCCAAGCGCGAGCACCACGCACACUUUGGCCCUUGUUCCCACCAAGCCCGGGGCAGAGGAGCACACAGGAGCUAUUCUCCCCCAGCUCCCCGCGAUGUCCCCAGCCCGCGCCGAGGCUGAGCCUCGCCGGCCUGCUCCUCGCCCAGGCCUCGCUUUGCGCCGCCCGGCGCCGUUCGUGCGAGGCCACGUCCCCUCCUGAGCCCCAAAUCACCCCAAAGCGCCCGUAUUCCAAAUCGGGGCUUGGAUGCCAGCACAGCCACAAGGGCACGCGCCACAGCCCCGCGGCAGGCAGGGCUCCAGCCAAACCCACCCUCGUGCCGGGGUCGCCGUCCCCGAAUCCCCCCCCCAAGCCGCAGCAGGAGCGGUGUCCCGUUCUCGGAGAGCACCGACCGCUGUCGGCGGAUAAUCCCUUCAUUAGCGCGGCCUCCCAAAUAAUCCCAUUGAGAGGUUCGCACACGCAGCACGGUUUAAAACAAGCCGUGCCGCAGGUCCCGGGGCGAGGGGCAGGCUGCCGUUGCGAGGUGCCUUUGUGUUGGCUGAUGAGCUCCCUUCCACGGCUGCUGAAGCGGGCUGCGCCCCUGCCCCUUCGCACGGCACUAAUGGGUCUUUGCUCGAUGCACGACAGCGUGCUGGAUGGAGAGGCCACGAAAGUCUCAGCCCACCUCGUAAGAGCACAUACGCCUUAA
This 1185-nucleotide long non-coding RNA is filed under the name Anser brachyrhynchus (Pink-footed goose). RNAcentral's name for it is "lncRNA (ENSABRG00000007075.1)". The record is from RNAcentral. Lineage: Eukaryota; Metazoa; Chordata; Aves; Anseriformes; Anatidae.